Molecule: ribosomal RNA, 548 nt
Filed under: uncultured bacterium
Lineage: Bacteria
Description: bacterial SSU rRNA
Rfam family: Bacterial small subunit ribosomal RNA
Source: RNAcentral
UGGGGAAUUUUGGACAAUGGGCGCAAGCCUGAUCCAGCCAUGCCGCGUGCGGGAAGAAGGCCUUCGGGUUGUAAACCGCUUUUGUCAGGGAAGAAAUCUUCUGGGUUAAUACCUCGGGAGGAUGACGGUACCUGAAGAAUAAGCGCCGGCUAACUGCGUGCCAGCAGCCGCGGUAAUACGUAGGGUGCAAGCGUUAAUCGGAAUUACUGGGCGUAAAGCGUGCGCAGGCGGUUGUGCAAGACAGAUGUGAAAUCCCCGGGCUCAACCUGGGAACUGCAUUUGUGACUGCAUGGCUAGAGUGCGGCAGAGGGGGAUGGAAUUCCGCGUGUAGCAGUGAAAUGCGUAGAUAUGCGGAGGAACACCGAUGGCGAAGGCAAUCCCCUGGGUCUGCACUGACGCUCAUGCACGAAAGCGUGGGGAGCAAACAGGAUUAGAUACCCUGGUAGUCCACGCCCUAAACGAUGUCAACUGGUUGUUGGGAAGGUUCCUUCUCAGUAACGUAGCUAACGCGUGAAGUUGACCGCCUGGGGAGUACGGCCGCAAGGUUG